ACUUGAACGUUAUCUUUUCUAUGUCCAAGUUGGUGGUAUUGUCCAGUGGGCCAUCAGAGCUUCUUGUAAAUGUAGCCACCAGUGCCACUCUUCAAAAAAAAAAAUCUUACCACCUUAAGCUCCGUCGUUCCAUACCUUUUAGCACCAGACUUUACUAUGCUAAGCCUUGAAACAACAAUCCACUAAAGCUCCGGCAUCAAGUGCUCGUUGCACAAGUUAAGAGUCUAUCUAAGAGCUCCAUUGAGGCUGAUGGCUCAUCUAAAUUGUUCAAUAUGGAAUGGUUCAAUGCAUUAUCCACGAAAUAAAAGUCUACUCCCU
Molecule: long non-coding RNA, 318 nt
Filed under: Setaria viridis
Lineage: Eukaryota; Viridiplantae; Streptophyta; Magnoliopsida; Poales; Poaceae
Description: long non-coding RNA (SVIR_LNC004480)
Source: RNAcentral